Molecule: long non-coding RNA, 358 nt
Organism: Ochotona princeps (American pika)
Lineage: Eukaryota; Metazoa; Chordata; Mammalia; Lagomorpha; Ochotonidae
Exons: 3
Source: RefSeq, a predicted model, not a curated record
CCCAAGUCUCCCUGGCGCGCUCGGUAGACCGAGUUCGGCCCACCUCCAGCCCCUUCUAGACCGCCGGUGGAUGCCCUCAGCGCGCACAGCGGUGUGGAGGGAACCCGCGAGCCGGGAAGGAGCUACACAGAAAAUGAGAGAGCAAGAGAGCAAGAAACAUUCUACCAACUGGGUAACUCCUCAGAUGCCUGCAACAACUGGAGUUGGAGCAGGAUAAAGCCAGGAACCAGGAACUUCAUCCAGGUCUCCAGUGAUACUGGAUGAUUCUGGUGGGCAAAUCCAGUACAUGGAAUCCUUCAGCCGACAUGCAAAUGUAUCGACCAUGGAUAGAGGGGGAGGAGAAGAAGGGGAGGCAAAG